Long non-coding RNA from Astatotilapia calliptera (eastern happy), 1441 nucleotides. Lineage: Eukaryota; Metazoa; Chordata; Actinopteri; Cichliformes; Cichlidae. The record is from Ensembl.
UUACUCUCUAAUCUAUCUUUAUAGACGCAGACAGAUUGUUGCAUUUUAUGAAAGAGGAGGUCCCAAUAAGUGUUCUCCUGUUCAGUCUAACUGAAAAGUGCGGCCUGUGGCUUCUGCAGUUUGGCGCCCUGCAGAAUCUGCACCACUGUAUCUAUGAGGUUCUGCUCUGUUACUGGCUCUGCCAUCUGGUGUUGGUGCCCAUGAGAUGGACUCGGCUCUGGUUUGCAACCAGGGGAGCUUAGAGUGGGAGCCUGGCACGGCUGCUGCUGAUUCCAGAAUAAUCUAUGCUGCGCUGCUGUGACUCAUUUUGCCUCUGAUGGGCACCGUGACCACUCGAGCAUGUGCCUGCAAUUAAGCGUUCUGUUAAGUAAAAACUGCAAUUUGCAAAGGCAAGCAUGAAGGUGCACUUCACUAGAACAAAGUAAAUUGAAGGAGUGGCGGAGGGAUAGUGGGGGCUCAUACGGAUAAACCGAUCUCUCCACCGCGAGGUUUUGAUUUUGGCUUUUGCUGUGGUUUUGUGGACCAAGGUGCACACUGAAAAUACUCUGAUGACAGUAGAGAUGUAGACUUUUGUAACACCAAUAUGGGGAACUCAUAAAAAUAACGUAAUUUCUGGGAAUACAGAACAGAAGACGAGCUGCAUUUGAAUUUGAAAAACAACCAUAGGAAAUUUGCAGUUUUGGUAAAUUCAUUCAAAAACAAAGCGCCGAUCUGAAGCCGUCUUUGCAGCAGUGGUUUGUCCAUUGUUUGCUGCUGCUGCUCAAAAUGUUUUAAUUUCUUUCACCACACAAAAGCUCUUCACGAGCAAUGACAAGGGCUGCUGUCACGAGCUGAUGUGACACAUUACUGUAUUUAGCACAUAUUUCGACGUCCGCUUGGAGUUUUAACGACGGGCUGUUAUGAUUUCACUUGGAAGUCUUCUCUUAUUUUUAUUUUUUUAAUCCUGUCAACAGCGUCCACUUAAUGUCACGUCCAGCUGGGUGGAGGACGAGCAGACGAUUUCUGCAUUUGUGCAGCGUGUCCUCACUCAGAGUGGGAGGAACUGUUUUUGUGGACGUGCUGGAAGAAAACGUCUUUUUUCUAUGAUUUCGAUGAGAUGACUGAUACUGUCACCUUUUUAAAAAUACAGCUGUAGGUCAGGAGACUUUAAAGUUCACAAACUGUAGCUCAAAGGCUGAAAUCAAUGUUGCUUUUUUCUGCUGGGGGAGGAGCUGAGCUGAGCAAAACUUUUAAAGGUCACAAAUUCACUUGUUUGUAGUUGAUUUUGUCAUUACUAGAAGCCACAAAGUGACAGAAGAAACCAAGUGGCCCCUCAUGUAAAAGAGUCAGUGGUAAAAUCCACUGGAUACAGCAGAGGCACAUUCAUUAACAUGAUAAAUGAGUAGAAACAACCUCAGUAAAAGUACAUCAGAGACAACAAAGAAGAAGUAGAAAAGCCAGG